RNAcentral lists this ribosomal RNA (256 nucleotides) under Salmonella enterica subsp. enterica serovar Infantis. RNAcentral describes it as "partial 16S ribosomal RNA". The record is from RNAcentral. Lineage: Bacteria; Pseudomonadati; Pseudomonadota; Gammaproteobacteria; Enterobacterales; Enterobacteriaceae.
GUAGUCCGGAUUGGAGUCUGCAACUCGACUCCAUGAAGUCGGAAUCGCUAGUAAUCGUGGAUCAGAAUGCCACGGUGAAUACGUUCCCGGGCCUUGUACACACCGCCCGUCACACCAUGGGAGUGGGUUGCAAAAGAAGUAGGUAGCUUAACCUUCGGGAGGGCGCUUACCACUUUGUGAUUCAUGACUGGGGUGAAGUCGUAACAAGGUAACCGUAGGGGAACCUGCGGUUGGAUCACCUCCUUACCUKAAAGAA